AGUGAACGCUGGCGGUAGGCCUAACACAUGCAAGUCGAACGGCAGCACAGUAAGAGCUUGCUCUUACGGGUGGCGAGUGGCGGACGGGUGAGGAAUACAUCGGAAUCUACUUUUUCGUGGGUGAUAACGUAGGGAAACUUACGCUAAUACCGCAUACGACCUACGGGUGAAAGCAGGGGAUCUUCGGACCUUGCGCGAUUGAAUGAGCCGAUGUCGGAUUAGCUAGUUGGCGGGGUAAAGGCCCACCAAGGCGACGAUCCGUAGCUGGUCUGAGAGGAUGAUCAGCCACACUGGAACUGAGACACGGUCCAGACUCCUACGGGAGGCAGCAGUGGGGAAUAUUGGACAAUGGGCGCAAGCCUGAUGCAGCAAUACCGCGUGAGUGAAGAAGGCCUUCGGGUUGUAAAGCCCUUUUGUUGGGAAAGAAAAGCAGCAGGUUAAUACCCCGCUGUUCUGACGGUACCCAAAGAAAAAGCACCGGCUAACUUCGUG
RNAcentral lists this ribosomal RNA (492 nucleotides) under uncultured bacterium. RNAcentral's name for it is "partial 16S ribosomal RNA". It matches the Rfam family "Bacterial small subunit ribosomal RNA", at positions 29 to 507 of the family's 1533-position model. The record is from RNAcentral.